Molecule: long non-coding RNA, 407 nt
Organism: Mercenaria mercenaria
Lineage: Eukaryota; Metazoa; Mollusca; Bivalvia; Venerida; Veneridae
Exons: 3
Source: RefSeq, a predicted model, not a curated record
AAAAAGCUUGACUGAGUAUUACAUUUCAGGAGGAUAUGUGUAUAUUGCGACGAUAGGUAUAGCGGUAACUGGUCCAAUAGAAAAUAAAGAUCAUGAACUGAAAGUCUAUUUGAAGACACAGAUAAAAUCUGCUUAUGAAUCCAAAUAUCCGGAGCACAAUGUACACGUCGAAAUCAUAUCCAUUUCAAAGGGCAGUACUGAUAGGAAGAAACGGCAAACAUCUGAAAACCUAGUUGUUGAAUUUGUUUUGCAUUUUGAUGAACCAUUGGACUCGGAAAACAUUACAACUGCAUGGCAAGACUAUAGGAAGGAAAGUUGCCCAAAAGGAAUAUGCAGAUCAGAGGAGAAUAAUGAUAUAGCUGUCCAUCUACCAUUCAAUGUGAUAUUUGAAGAAGAUGUAGUAUUUG